GCUAUUUAGUUGGAUGCAUUUUUCAGUCUGUCAGUCCAUUAAGUUCUGCAGGUUUAUGCUGUUAUUUCACUGUAGAAUCCCCUAACUUGGAUACCCUUCUUCUAUUGCACAGCAGCAACAGUGUAUUUUGUACCAGUACAGAGAUCCAUAUUUCACUUUCCUUUUUUUUUUUUUUUUACUUUCCACAUUUACUAAAAAAAGUAGACUAGAUUCUUAAACAUCACUGGGCUGAAUUGCAUCAGCUGUGGAACUGGUGCAGAGAAAUUAAAUGCAAACACCUGUACUAACUCAACACCCACACUAAGAAAUUAACCAUACAGAAGCCAAGAUAUAUGAAAGUUAACAUAAGUAGAGCUAUGGGUAGCACAGGCAUGUUGUUCUAUGUGCUUUAUAACUAAAUCCCUGUGAGCAACACUGGGAAGAAAUCUGCUGCUCAGCUAUAUAGCAUUAGGAACUGAUUGCUCACUCCAUCCAAGGCCCAAUUCUGUCUUUUGAUUGAACACCCUUUUCUCAAAACUUCAAAGCACUUUACAAUUAUUAAUGGAUGAAGCCUCUUGAUGACCCUGAAGAAUGUCCCUGUUUUCCUUUCUGAGAGGAGAAAAGCAGAGAAGCGCUAGUGUUCAGACGCCUGUUAAUUUCCACAGGAUAUUUGGCUAUGGGUAAAAUGACCAAAUGAGACAAGAAUCAAAAACAGUGUUACACAGGAGGCAAAGAACUGAUUUAUGCCAGCCUCCUGGGCAGCUAACUCCUAGAGCUGGUAUCUGCACUUUGUGGGUGGGCAACCUUCCACAGCAUACCAUUCUGUCUUCUGAAUAGGUCAGCUUGUCACAGGCUCAGCAUCUGCAGCUGUCUGCAUGGAGUACAGCCUUUCCUGUAUUGGUGUCUGAUAUUUUCUCAUGCUGGGAAAAGCUGUAUUUUCUCAUGCCAGUACCCCCAUGAAGUUCAUUGGAAGCAAAUGCUCAAUACUGUGAAGAAGGGUUGGACAUGAGAGUAACCUGUUUAGUUGCCUCUGUCUUUCACUGCAUGGAUAUCUAUAAACUGUCAGGGUAACAUGCCUUAAGUUUAGUAGAUGCAAAAAUACUAAGCUUGAAGUAGGUGAACUGGAAUAAUGGCUUGUGUUAUAUCUUGUUCCACCUAUUAGAUAUUUAAGCAGUACAAACAUCUAAGUAGCUAAUGGCCUUUUUACACAUGCUCUGGGAGGUGUUGGGGGGUGCUUCCGGAGUCAUGCUAAUUAAAAGCACCCGGAUGUCACAUGUAUAAGCAUCCCUGCACUGAAAAAUGGUGGCAGGGCACUUUGAACUAAAGCUCAUCAAAUGGUCCUACCACCAUUUUUCAGUGUGGGGACACGGAUACAUGUGACACUAGAGUCUGCUGGAGCAUGUUAAUUUCUGCACUUCAGCAGACUCAAUUAAUUGAGUCUGCUCCAGUUCCAGUGCAUCAGAGCAGGUUCCCUCCACAUUUAUAGGAGCCCUAAGUGCUCUAUGCUGCUGAAGUCACUGAAAAAAAACAUUAAUGUGAAAGAUGGGUGAGUCCUUCCUGCUUUUGCAGACAGAGGCCUUAGGCCAUGUUGAAGGUGCAUUUCAAAAUGUUUUUUCAGGGUCUUGAGCAAGGUGAGAUAGGAUUGGUGAAGUACUUAGACAUGUCCCUGAUUACUUUCCUGUACCAGGAUCUGACCCAGGACUAGCUCCUAUUCUGCCCUUUAGGCAAGCAAGUGGAUAAAUAUGUACUCACACUUAGGAUCACAUUGGUGAAGAUGCCACCAGGGUCUAGGAGUAAAGCUUUAUUGCUUGCUCAGGCAUAUAAUUUAGGAAGUGUUUUCUAACACCCAACCUCAGUUCUGAUUUACAGCUUCAUUUCGUGUCUAGGCAUCCCUGCUCUUUCUCCCUUCCUUUAAUGCUGAGAUCUUUCAAAUGUUUUGAUAUGGUUGGUUACAUAACAUCUAAUUUUUUUUGUGCAGUGCUUUGGAGCUGUCAAACACUAUGUAGUGGUCAGAAGGGUUGGUGACUGAUGGUUAAUCAUUCUCACUUCAUUCUUUUAACUAAGCCACACAGGCAAUUUUUGCUCUUUUUACCUUUCAUUCUCACUUAGUUUUUUCCCCCCAACAUUUUAAUCAUUGUUCAUUUAUUUUACUUGUUCAUUUACUGGUACUUCAAAAAUUAUUGUUUAUUUAUUGAUACUUCCUCCUGGGAUGUUCAUAUCCAAAAUGGAAUGUGUUAUUUCAAACAUGGUCAGACCAAUGCUGCAUAAAGAUUAAAAUAUCAUGCACCAGGGAGUUAACUCUUUUCCUCUGUACAGUCCAAGGUAACACUGAACUGCUUCAGAUUGUAUGAUAUCUUUUUUUAUUGUGCUAUCUUCUGUCACA
Molecule: long non-coding RNA, 2362 nt
Organism: Alligator mississippiensis (American alligator)
Lineage: Eukaryota; Metazoa; Chordata; Crocodylia; Alligatoridae
Exons: 3
Source: RefSeq, a predicted model, not a curated record